Molecule: ribosomal RNA, 265 nt
Filed under: uncultured archaeon
Lineage: Archaea
Description: partial 16S ribosomal RNA
Rfam family: Archaeal small subunit ribosomal RNA
Source: RNAcentral
ACACGACUACAUUAGAUACCCGUGUAGUCCUAGCCGUAAACGAUACUCGCUAGGUGUCGGCCACGGUGCGACCGUUGUCGGUGCCGUAGGGAAGCCGUGAAGCGAGCCACCUGGGAAGUACGGCCGCAAGGCUGAAACUUAAAGGAAUUGGCGGGGGAGCACAACAACGGGUGGAGCUCGCGGUUUAAUUGGAUUCAACGCCGGAAAUCUUACCGGGACCGACAGCAACAUGAAGGCCAAGCUGAAGACUUUGCCGGAUUAGCUG